Molecule: unclassified non-coding RNA, 151 nt
Filed under: uncultured fungus
Lineage: Eukaryota; Fungi
Description: sequence contains ITS1
Source: RNAcentral
UUAAUAUUUGUAUGGGAUUCAGACACAAAACUAUUUUGCAUUAAUGUGGCGCCGGAGCGCCAAAGCACAUUUUGCUUCCACAGGUUGAAGGGUUGAAGGUCAUAAGACAGACCAUUCAAUAAUGAUCCCUCCGCAGGUUCACCUACGGAGA